RNAcentral lists this non-coding RNA (24 nucleotides) under Cricetulus griseus (Chinese hamster). Lineage: Eukaryota; Metazoa; Chordata; Mammalia; Rodentia; Cricetidae. The record is from RNAcentral.
AUGUUUGCUUAAGAAAGAUCCUGG